GAUCAUGGCUCAGGACGAACGCUGGCGGCGUGCUUAACACAUGCAAGUGAACGCUGAAGCCCAGCUUGCUGGGUGGAUGAGUGGCGAACGGGUGAGUAACACGUGAGUAACCUGCCCCCUUCUUUGGGAUAACGCCCGGAAACGGGUGCUAAUACUGGAUAUUCACUGGCCUUCGCAUGGGGGUUGGGUGGAAAGGGUUUUUUACUUGGUGGGGGAGUGGGCUCGCGGCCUAUCAGCUUGUUGGUGGGGUGAUGG
Molecule: ribosomal RNA, 255 nt
Filed under: uncultured bacterium
Lineage: Bacteria
Description: partial 16S ribosomal RNA
Rfam family: Bacterial small subunit ribosomal RNA
Source: RNAcentral